RNAcentral lists this transfer RNA (82 nucleotides) under Candidatus Margulisiibacteriota bacterium. RNAcentral's name for it is "Candidatus Margulisbacteria bacterium (hot springs metagenome) tRNA-Leu". It matches the Rfam family "tRNA". From Rfam's summary of the family: Transfer RNA (tRNA) molecules are approximately 80 nucleotides in length. Their secondary structure includes four short double-helical elements and three loops (D, anti-codon, and T loops). The record is from RNAcentral. Lineage: Bacteria; Bacillati; Candidatus Margulisiibacteriota.
GCCGCGGUGGUGGAAUUGGUAGACACGUACGUUUGAGGGGCGUAUGCCUUUUGGCAUGAGAGUUCGAGUCUCUCCCGCGGCA